UAAAAAAUGACUCGGCAUCCAAACAAAAUCGACUUACUACCAUAAUUCUUAUCAGUUUCUUAAGACUCGCAUACCCAGAUGCUUCCUAUUGGCACGCGACCAAAUCAAGACGCUAUAAACCGAACAACGUAAAAAUGACAAACGACCUGGACAAAAGUUCGGGUUAAUAAAAAAGAGAAACCUUCUUUAGAAAUCCAAAGACAGAGCUCUGUCAGAGCUCUUGACUAAUUGCAAGCAGCAAGAAACGAGUGUCGACGUAAUAAACAGGACGAAAUAACAGAUUCAGCAGGCGACUCAACGAUCAAACGUGGAAUCAAGUGACGGUUGUGGAAAAGGAGGCUCCAGAAACUUAAGAGAGAGAGAGAGAGAGAGAGUCGAGAGGAAUACUGUGCCAACAAUUGCUCUGUGAUAAUUCAAUCCUAGAACUGUCAGCAACUUAACGGUAAGAGACUGGGUUAGACAUCAACUAAGGAUACAGGAAAGUAGGAUGAUGCUGCAUUACUAACUGACGACAUCGCUUGUUGAUCCCACUGAACCUAUUGUAGCAGAGGUGUAAAACGGUUUCCGACUGAAGAAUCUACAAGUCACACGGGAAAUCCUACUUCACGAGAAAUCAUUCUCGCGCUUUGCAGUCCAAAAGAGAGACUUCAAACGUGCAAUAAUUUCGUGACAAACAGUUGGCACCGACUGACCCAAUAUCGGCACUCCUGACGCAAGAAGAAUUAUCAGUCUACAGGCUAUAUUCACGAAACUAUAAAAAUUGCACAUUAUACACGAGGAAUGAUGCAAUUGCCAGCAGAGCCAUAGAUAGCAGAGGGAAAUAAGUAACGAUAAGAAGAAAAACAUACAGUCGAAUUCAUCUUCGAUCCCCGGACAGCAGACUCGAAGUUGAAAUACGUUACCUAUGGAUUUUCAUUGAUGGUGAUAAAUAACGAAUAUCGGGGCUACGACCAUGCGAUCCUUUCCAAUGGAUUCUCAGGCGAGCGCCGAUUGGUCCCGCUCAACAUUGCCGUUAUUCCAAGUCACCCGUUACUUGUUUCUAGACAACGCAACAACUUUUCAUCUAUGAUCGAUCCUUUACAGCUUCAUGAUUAUACGCACGAUAUACAGGGUCAUUCGAGAAACGCACCGCCUGAAGUUAGCCUGUCCAUUUAAUUUCUAUGACGCACCCACCUUCGGAUGGUACGUUUUUAGUGAACAACCCUGUAUAUGAAAUUUUUUUUUCAAAUUAUCUCGCUCGAUAACAUCAGCAUGGGAGUAAGUAACGCGAGAGUCUACAUUUUAAUAAUGGUCCUCGGGAGUGAACCAAAGUUGCGGGACUAAGUAUUUAUGCGAGUAGCGUCGCGACGCCGCUCGGGGCGCAACCAGCAUCUCCGCCUGACGCAUUCAAUAAUUGUAUCCAAGUUUAGCCGUGGCAGGAAUAGAAAAGAAGUUCGGAAACGGGUUUCCUGGAGUUUCUCGAAGCGAAAAGAAGAACUGAUGGAACCGAAUGAAACGGAAGACGGAGAGAGCGAGCGUCGACGGCGCACAAUAAGCUCG
This is a long non-coding RNA of Cephus cinctus (wheat stem sawfly), 1539 nucleotides long. RefSeq lists it as uncharacterized. Lineage: Eukaryota; Metazoa; Arthropoda; Insecta; Hymenoptera; Cephidae. The transcript is spliced from 3 exons. The record is from RefSeq and is a predicted model, not a curated record.